RNAcentral lists this ribosomal RNA (510 nucleotides) under Liphistius marginatus. RNAcentral's name for it is "partial large subunit ribosomal RNA". It matches the Rfam family "Bacterial large subunit ribosomal RNA", at positions 1790 to 2632 of the family's 2925-position model. Lineage: Eukaryota; Metazoa; Arthropoda; Arachnida; Araneae; Liphistiidae. The record is from RNAcentral.
CCAUGGCGCCUGUUUAUCAAAAACAUGGUUUUUUGAGAUUAUAGAAAAUCAGAUCUGCUCACUGCUAUAAGUAAAUAGCCGCAGUAUUUUGACUGUGCAAAGGUAGCAUAAUCAUUUGCCUUUUAAUUGGAGGCUGGUAUGAAUGAUUUAACGUGAUAAAGGCUGUCUCUAAAAAAAAUUUCGAAUUUAAUUAGUUAGUAAAAAGGCUACUAUAAGCCUAAAGGACGAUAAGACCCUAUUAAGCUUGAUUUUUGAAUUUUACUGGGGCGGUAUUUUAAGAUUAGAAUCUUAAGUAAAAAGAGUAUAUUAUUAUGACCCAAUAAUAUUGAGUUUGAGAAAAAGUUACUAUAGGGAUAACAGCUUUAUUUUUUUAUUGAGUUCUUAUUUUAAAAAAAGUUUGUGACCUCGAUGUUGAAUUAAAGGUUCUACUUGGUGCAGCAGCUAAGUUAGAAAGUCUGUUCGACUUUUAAUUCUUUACGUGAUCUGAGUUCAGACCGGCCAUGGGAGCUC